This 74-nucleotide transfer RNA is filed under the name Corynebacterium variabile. Its description in RNAcentral is "tRNA-Gly". It matches the Rfam family "tRNA". Rfam says of the family: Transfer RNA (tRNA) molecules are approximately 80 nucleotides in length. RNAcentral also lists the same sequence under 60 other names. Lineage: Bacteria; Bacillati; Actinomycetota; Actinomycetes; Mycobacteriales; Corynebacteriaceae. The record is from RNAcentral.
GCGGGCGUAGCUCAAUGGUAGAGCGCCAGCUUCCCAAGCUGGACACGCGGGUUCGAUUCCCGUCGCCCGCUCCA